GCCUAAAGCGUCCGUAGCCUGUUUUGUCAGUUUUCGGUUAAAUCCAUACGCUCAACGUAUGGGCUGCCGGAAAUACUGCAAAACUAGGGAGUGGGAGAGGUAGACGGUACUCGGGAGGAAGGGGUAAAAUCCUUUGAUCUCUCGAUGACCACCUGUGGCGAAGGCGGUCUACCAGAACACGUCCGACGGUGAGGGAUGAAAGCUGGGGGAGCAAACCGGAUUAGAUACCCGGGUAGUCCCAGCUGUAAACUAUGCAAACUCAGUGAUGCAUUGGCUUGUGGCCAAUGCAGUGUUGCAGGGAAGCCGUUAAGUUUGCCGCCUGGGAAGUACGUACGCAAGUAUGAAACUUAAAGGAAUUGGCGGGGGAGCACCACAAGGGGUGAAGCCUGCGGUUCAAUUGGAGUCAACGCCAGAAAUCUUACCCGGAGAGACAGCAGAAUGAAGGUCAAGCUGAAGACUUUACCAGACAAGCUGAGAGGUGGUGCAUGGCCGUCGCCAGCUCGUGCCGUGAGAUGUCCUGUUAAGUCAGGUAACGAGCGAGAUCCCUGCCUCUAGUUGCCACCAUUACUCUCAGGAGUAGUGGGGCGAAUUAGCGGGACCGCCGCAGUUAAUGUGGAGGAAGGAAGGGGCCACGGCAGGUCAGUAUGCCCCGAA
RNAcentral lists this ribosomal RNA (654 nucleotides) under uncultured archaeon. RNAcentral's name for it is "bacterial SSU rRNA". It matches the Rfam family "Archaeal small subunit ribosomal RNA", at positions 508 to 1160 of the family's 1478-position model. The record is from RNAcentral.